GGCCAAGUGGCGGAACUGGCAGACGCGCACGACUCAAAAUCGUGUGAGGGUAACCUCAUGAGAGUUCGACUCUCUCCUUGGCCA
This 84-nucleotide transfer RNA is filed under the name Candidatus Chisholmbacteria bacterium RIFCSPHIGHO2_01_FULL_52_32. RNAcentral's name for it is "tRNA-Leu". It matches the Rfam family "tRNA". Rfam says of the family: Transfer RNA (tRNA) molecules are approximately 80 nucleotides in length. Their secondary structure includes four short double-helical elements and three loops (D, anti-codon, and T loops). Further hydrogen bonds mediate the characteristic L-shaped molecular structure. tRNAs have two regions of fundamental functional importance: the anti-codon, which is responsible for specific mRNA codon recognition, and the 3' end, to which the tRNAs corresponding amino acid is attached (by aminoacyl-tRNA synthetases). tRNAs cope with the degeneracy of the genetic code in two manners: having more than one tRNA (with a specific anti-codon) for a particular amino acid; and 'wobble' base-pairing, i.e. permitting non-standard base-pairing at the 3rd anti-codon position. The record is from RNAcentral. Lineage: Bacteria; Candidatus Chisholmiibacteriota. RNAcentral also lists the same sequence under 1 other name.